UACGUAGGGUGCGAGCGUUAAUCGGAAUUACUGGGCGUAAAGCGUGCGCAGGCCGCUUCGCAAGCUAGGUGUGAAAGCCCCGGGCUUAACCUGGGAACUGCAUUUAGGACUGCGAGGCUCGAGUGCGGCAGAGGGAGGUGGAAUUCCACGUGUAGCAGUGAAAUGCGUAGAGAUGUGGAGGAACACCGAUGGCGAAGGCAGCCUCCUGGGCCGACACUGACGCUCAUGCACGAAAGCGUGGGGAGCAAACAGG
Molecule: ribosomal RNA, 253 nt
Filed under: uncultured bacterium
Lineage: Bacteria
Description: partial 16S ribosomal RNA
Rfam family: Bacterial small subunit ribosomal RNA
Source: RNAcentral